GACGGGGGAUGCAAGCGUUAUCCGGAAUCACUGGGCGUAAAGGGCGCGUAGGCGGUGGGUUACGUCUGCCGUGAAAUCCCCGGGCUCAACCUGGGAAUGGCGGUGGAAACGGGCUGACUGGAGUAUGGGAGAGGGUGAUGGAAUUCCAGGUGUAGCGGUGAAAUGCGUAGAGAUCUGGAGGAACACCAGUGGCGAAGGCGGUCACCUGGCCCAAUACUGACGCUGAGGCGCGAAAGCGUGGGGAGCAAACAGG
RNAcentral lists this ribosomal RNA (253 nucleotides) under uncultured bacterium. RNAcentral's name for it is "partial 16S ribosomal RNA". It matches the Rfam family "Bacterial small subunit ribosomal RNA", at positions 524 to 776 of the family's 1533-position model. The record is from RNAcentral.